RNAcentral lists this long non-coding RNA (1119 nucleotides) under Homo sapiens (human). RNAcentral describes it as "HSALNT0348104". Lineage: Eukaryota; Metazoa; Chordata; Mammalia; Primates; Hominidae. The record is from RNAcentral.
AAGACUGCAAAGGAACUGUCAAAAUGCAAUGGAAACUAGAAGAGUUUUGAGAUGGCAAGAGUGGUCAAGAGAGCCAAAUGUUGCUGAGAGUUCAAGAGAAAGAGGUGAUUUUGUGCAGAAAUAGAUGAUACAGAAGAAAAGCAUUAGAAAGAUUCUAAAAAUAUCUCUUUGGUGAGAACUUUGCAAUCAGAACACCCCACAUCGCAUAGAAGGUUGUUACUGCUAUCCGUCCUUAAGGGAAAAACAUCACCGGUGUUAUGGCAAUGUCACUAGAGAGGUGUAAAGGUGAGAACUGAAAUGACUUUGGGAAAAGGUUUUGGAAGAUUGAGAAGAAAAAAGAGAAGUGGUGUCAUCAUGGCUCACUCACUGCGGUCUCAAACUUCUUGCCUCAAGUGAUGGACCUGAACUCAACUCAAGUGAUCCUCCUGCUUCAGCCUCCCAAAAAUGCUAAGAUUACAGCCAUAAGCCACCAUGACCAGUCCCUUUUCUUUUUUUUUAACCUUUUUAAAAUGCUCAUUUCUUUGUUCUCAUUGAAUCCUAAAGAUGGAUGUAAGUUAUGAUAAACUGCAUUGCUAUUCAUGUGAUCCUUUCCUUUCUACUGUCUCCUCAUCUCUUCAGAAAGGCAGCAUUUUUUUUGAGUUUAUAAUGAUAUUGAUAGCCAGUUUAAGUGCAACCGUCAGGAAGCAAUAUAAAAUCAAUUUAAAAUCAGUAGGUUUUAGGAAUCAUUUCUUAAAAUGGAGAUUUUUAAAAGAAUGUACAUGUAUGGAAAGAAUGAACUUAGAAUAUUUGCAAAUAGUAAUUAUAUUGACAUAGUAAGAAGGUGUAGUAGAGUAUAAAACUAUGGAUGCUAACAUAAUUAGAAUAAAACUGAUCACAUAAUUUUUUGAAACAGGUAUAUCUGUUCUUAAAUGUGAUGCUCACUUAUCAAAAGAGAAAAAUAUUUUCAACUCUUGUCAGCAGAAACUAAUUGUUGGCAUAUUUAAGGUAAAACACAUGGAUCCAAAAGCACAAUUACAAACUUUUCUGCAUUAUGAAAAAAUAAUAAAACUGGCUUCUCAAACACCAAUUUUUUAUUAAAAUCAAAAUUUCAAGCCAAUCAUCAAAAAAACAUGUUUUGUC